This 1020-nucleotide long non-coding RNA is filed under the name Equus asinus (donkey). RNAcentral's name for it is "lncRNA (ENSEASG00005034205.1)". Lineage: Eukaryota; Metazoa; Chordata; Mammalia; Perissodactyla; Equidae. The record is from RNAcentral.
AUCCGUCACAGACUGUUGCAGGAGGUCAGCAGAGGAUGUGACCACAAGUGUACCGGUGAGCGGGACUUCCCACUCUAGAAGCUGCCCCACGGAGGAGCCUUGAGAGAGUGCUGUGUUGUUGAGACCAGCUGGAGGGUACAGGUGACUGAAAUCCAUUAAGGCUUCCAUAUAAACUUUUAAGAUUCUGGGGGGUGGGUGCAGAGAUCUACUCGUCUUGUCGCUGCCCAAGACAAGCCUUGUAUCUACAAAAUCCCCACCAAACACAACCUGGCUCCAAAAAUAAAUUUGUGAGAUGAAUGAAAUGAAAGGCAAGAUGCACAGCCAUGUGACCUUGAAUUCUGGAAGACCUUGAGUUCUGUGUUGAAUGAGACAAGCCAAUGCUCUGAGGAAUGAGGACUCUAUUCCACUGGGAUAUCCUGAGAAACAUACAGGAGGCUUCCAGGAAUCCACACUCCAGAAGAAUGAGAGGCAUUUAUCGCCCUGCUCCCAUAUCCAUUGGUUGACAGCUGCCCCAGGGGCAUUAACUAUUCCGCGUGUCUGAGCUGAAAUUUUGCAUGGCAAUGGGAUGUCUAACAAGACUGACCAGAGUUCAAAACCUGGCUUCUUCAUUUUCAAGUUACGUUUGUUAUUAUUGCUUAGCAUUUUGGAGAUGUAUACUCAUUCCCCCAGCUGUUAUUUAGACUUUAUCUCACUGGAAUGUUGUGAAAAAUAUUUGUUACAAUGUGGCUCUACAUAUCUUUUUCUUUGCUUAGUAGAAUUUGGCAAGUGACAAAUUUGUAUUGGACAUUUUUCAAGCACUUAAGAAUUCAGUGGCAGGGACAGCAUAACCUCAUCAUAACGCUGUCACGUGGCCAGACUGCAGGAAGCAAGGUUUUGAACACUUCGUGGGUAACAAGGAUACGUUGACAUUCCUCCCUGAAAGAUGAAUGAUUGCAAAAUUCGUAGCUCCUAGUAAGGAAGACAAACGCUGUGAAACUUCCUUUCCUCAUCCAGUUACUGUGGGAAAACUGCGUGCUAAAC